CUUCCCCCCGCUCCUCAUUCCCCUAACCCUAGCCCAUUCUCCACGUCGCCGCCACCACCUCCCGUCCCCUGGCGCCGCCACCACGCCCACUCGCCGUCGCUCCUUCCCCUCCUCCCCGCCCUCUCGCUGCUCAGCAAGAGGAGCACGGCUCGCCGCCGGCCCUCACGCACCGCCUCCCUCCUCCUCUCCUCCUCCGCGUCGGGACCGGCUAGGGUUCGCACUCUCUCUCUCCCUCAGAUCUCUCUCCCGCCGCCGCCACGCUCCCUCUCUCCGGCAUGAGCCUCCAACUGUACUAUGUCCUGACCAGGAUGAUUUCAUUAGAGAGUGGAGCGGGGAGCCGGAGAGCGAGCCUCUCCUUUCAGUGCCGCUGUCACUGUCGCUGUCGAGGGUUCUAGUGCACGUGGCGGGGGUUCAUUCUAAUUCGUCCCUGCUCUGCUCUGGCGGCCGGGUUUAAAUCGGCAGCGGCGGUGGCAUCAGGUGGCCCUGAAGUAGGAGGUAGAUUGUGGUGGCGUUCAGGGACUCGCUCAAGGUGCUCGAGGUUGACAUCCAGCAUGCGAACACCCUGUUUGGAGCGUGUGUUGUUCACCAUGUCGUGAAUUCAUCUCUGGCGGUCUGCCACAGGCCGUCCGAGUGCUCGAGGGACUACGACAGGGCGUGCCUGCAGAUGCGCAUGUCCUACAGCCCCGCCAUGCACAUCUUCCUCUUCAUCAUGAAGUGGACCAACUGCAGCCUCGCCGGCACGGUCGGCCUCCUCAGGAUACUCUUGUCCAUCUGCUUAUGUGGACGGCACCACCACAAUGUCCACCCAUGAAAGGAAGGCCAGCAUCAGGGAGAUAAACGCUCUGUACAUAACUGAAAACAAUAGCAGAUGUUCUCACUAUGGUAAACGCUUUGUUCAUCAAUUCGUGUGCAGAAAAUACCAAAGGAAGACCGGUGGGACUAUGGUUUGGUGAGCGGAGCUUUACUAGGACUGAGUAUGACGAAGAAGCAUGGAUGCAAGAAAUUUCCCCUGAAAAUAGGACUUGAGAAAUAACAUGCUUGGAGGUCGCUGUCUACCAUCUCUCUCUGACUGCCCCUCCUCCCAUUGACAUGGCAUGCUGGUCACCGUUGUGUCUCCCGCUGGCUUGCCCCUCGCCAUCGUCGGGAGGGUUUUGUGGGCUGUUCUGCAUUGAAAUCCAUAUAACUUUGAAAAGGUCACCACCGUGCCGUCUCUCUCUCUCUGACUGCCCCUCCCAUCGUCUUGGUUUGCUGGAUGCCGUUGUGUCCCCCGCCAGUUCGCUCGUCGCCAUCGCUUGAUGGGUUGUGUAGGCUGCCGCUCAUGCAAUUGCUCUGCAGUGACCAGUGAGGACCAUGGCAUCGAGACAGCCCAAAAGGGAAACACCGCCGACCACCGCACCGGUGGAGGCCUCCCUGUCUGCCGGCAACUGGAUACCACCGCUUGUGAAAGGGGGCAUCACCAUGAUACAUAGAUGUGGAUGACAUUGCUCAAAGGUGUUCUCUCAUUGUCGCACUACUGGCCACCUCUCCUCUCCAUAGCGCUCAAUUCCGUGACAGGAGCCUGUUUUGUGUGCCGCACGGCUAUCCCAAAGGUGUAGCUGUCGUUGUACAGAGUUGUACUUCCUUGCCGAAAACCUCUACAAUUCUGUAGUGUCAGCUAUGACCUGGAUAGAGGUGUUUAGACUCCCUAAGAUGGCACAUGUCACUGAGGAGACGUGAUCUCCGAGCAGCCCUUCUCAUAGCUCGCAGUCCAGGUCGAUGCCAAAUUCAACUUCGAGGAGGCUUUUUGUGCUGUGGCUGCAGCAUUAAGCAUUUGAAUGGAGCACAUAUAGGCAUGCCCCGGUUCAUUUUAGAGUCACUUGGUUGUUUGAUGCGUUUGUGCUCGUCGGCGGGACGGUGCAAGGCGCAACUCCGACGCGGUUCCUCGCCAGUUGGACGGCAUUCAGGCGCAACCCCGGCGCGCACCGAGUACUUCCUUGGCUAUAACCUCCCUCGAAAUUUAGUUCAUAUGAAAGAAAAGAAAGGCAUACAGUACCUGGCAUUGACAUUGGGAGCAUGGGCUACUGCUCGCACCUCUACCUACAGGUACUUUAAUUUUAAGUGCAUGCUUACAGAGUUCUAUCAUGCACAAUCAUGUAUGCACACCGGUCUAUCCAGAAGAUUAGGUCGCGGCCCUCUCUGCCCGGGCCGCCAGCUUCCCGGAGGGCCGCAUCCGGCCUGCCGCAAGUACACCUAAGCUGCCGCCUCCCCGGGGGCUGCAAUUGGAAGUGGAUGACCAAGGAGAAGGUGCACGGUGGGGGCCAGGCGCUUAAGUGGGAGGCGGAGCUCGCCUCCCCCAACGACGACGGCUUCGAUCUCAAGUGAAAGUGGGAUGCCAAGUCCAAGCCCGUCGCUGCCGGCAAGACUAAAACCAAGUGGGGCACCGAGGAAGCCAGCAAGGAUGAGAAGAGGCCGACAGUGCGUCCAGAGCAAGGAGAUCCCUGCUGGCUGAGACGUCCAGAUCGAAGUACUUAGCAGAAAAGAUGAGAUUUUUGUGGGGGUUUGGCCCCGAUUUGAAUGAAAUGUAGGAUUUUCAGUACUCCAGUAGCAUACUCCAGUACUUCUUUUAACUAUAUCUGAUUAUAGAUAUUUUAUAUAGUAUCAUAUACUGUUAAGAAACAAUUUUGCUUUUUUGCUUCACAUUGAUGUGGUGGUGUUUUGUCAUAUUUUUAUACCAUGUCUUGAGGAUUUUCAGUUCUUUUGCCGUACAUAACAUGUCAGUCCUUCAGGUUUUUGGGUUUUUCUUCUGCCAUUCCAUCUAUGUGUGUGUAUGUUCUUGAAAACCAUUAGGAUUUGCUUUUGGUAUAUCAUGUGACAUUUUCUAUGACAUGUUCAAAGUGAUGUAAUUAACCAAACUAUUACUCCUAUUAGUGCUUAGUUCCUCC
Molecule: ribosomal RNA, 2921 nt
Filed under: Triticum aestivum (bread wheat)
Lineage: Eukaryota; Viridiplantae; Streptophyta; Magnoliopsida; Poales; Poaceae
Description: partial small subunit ribosomal RNA
Source: RNAcentral